Non-coding RNA from Mycena latifolia, 93 nucleotides. The record is from the annotation of a GenBank genome assembly. Lineage: Eukaryota; Fungi; Basidiomycota; Agaricomycetes; Agaricales; Mycenaceae.
UCGGGUGUGGUGUAUGGAACACCGUGCGUCUUCCUUGCUGAGUACUAGUAAGGCAAUAGCGCACAGCCCGGGGUUCGACUCCCCGCGCCCGAA